This 253-nucleotide ribosomal RNA is filed under the name uncultured bacterium. Its description in RNAcentral is "partial 16S ribosomal RNA". It matches the Rfam family "Bacterial small subunit ribosomal RNA", at positions 524 to 776 of the family's 1533-position model. The record is from RNAcentral.
UACGGAGGGAGCUAGCGUUGUUCGGAAUUACUGGGCGUAAAGCGCGCGUAGGCGGCUUUGUAAGUUAGAGGUGAAAGCCCGGAGCUCAACUCCGGAACUGCCUUUAAGACUGCAUCGCUUGAAUCCAGGAGAGGUGAGUGGAAUUCCGAGUGUAGAGGUGAAAUUCGUAGAUAUUCGGAAGAACACCAGUGGCGAAGGCGGCUCACUGGACUGGUAUUGACGCUGAGACGCGAAAGCGUGGGGAGCAAACAGG